UAGUGGCGAACGGGUGAGUAACACGUGGGCAAUCUGCCCUUCACUCUGGGACAAGCCCUGGAAACGGGGUCUAAUACCGGAUAACACUCUGUCCCGCAUGGGACGGGGUUGAAAGCUCCGGCGGUGAAGGAUGAGCCCGCGGCCUAUCAGCUUGUUGGUGGGGUGAUGGCCUACCAAGGCGACGACGGGUAGCCGGCCUGAGAGGGCGACCGGCCACACUGGGACUGAGACACGGCCCAGACUCCUACGGGAGGCAGCAGUGGGGAAUAUUGCACAAUGGGCGAAAGCCUGAUGCAGCGACGCCGCGUGAGGGAUGACGGCCUUCGGGUUGUAAACCUCUUUCAGCAGGGAAGAAGCGAAAGUGACGGUACCUGCAGAAGAAGCGCCGGCUAACUACGUGCCAGCAGCCGCGGUAAUACGUAGGGCGCAAGCGUUGUCCGGAAUUAUUGGGCGUAAAGAGCUCGUAGGCGGCUUGUUGCNGUCGGNUUGUGAAAAGCCCGGGGCUUAACCCCNGGNUCUGCAGUCGAUACGGGGCAGGCUAGAGUGUGGUAGGGGAAGAUCGGAAUUCNU
Molecule: ribosomal RNA, 570 nt
Filed under: Streptomyces sp. 340A08
Lineage: Bacteria; Bacillati; Actinomycetota; Actinomycetes; Kitasatosporales; Streptomycetaceae
Description: bacterial SSU rRNA
Rfam family: Bacterial small subunit ribosomal RNA
Source: RNAcentral